Molecule: non-coding RNA, 385 nt
Organism: Meleagris gallopavo (turkey)
Lineage: Eukaryota; Metazoa; Chordata; Aves; Galliformes; Phasianidae
Source: RefSeq, a predicted model, not a curated record
CACCCCGCCCUGCCGGGGCGGGACGAGCAGCCAGCAAGGCUCCGAGGCGUGUAAAAGCGAGGAAGAAGGGCGAGAAGCACGGAACGACCGGCCGGGCUGAGCUGCUGAGACGGUUGCACUGGAAGUGCACACGAGCAAACGUCUGAAAUGGCAUCUGAGGGAGAUAAACUUUGGGGGGGAAGAUUCAGCGGAAGCACAGAUCCCAUCAUGGAGAAGCUCAACUCUUCCAUUGCCUGUGAUCAGAGACUGUCUGAAGUUGAUAUCCAGGGGAGCAUUGCUUAUGCCAAAGCCUUGGAGAAGGCUGGCAUCCUAACUAAGACAGAGCUGGAGAAGAUCCUGAGUGGCCUGGAAAAGGUAUUUAUUUCCUUCAUAAACUGUAAAGCAU